CGAGCGGACAGAUGGGAGCUUGCUCCCUGAUGUUAGCGGCGGACGGGUGAGUAACACGUGGGUAACCUGCCUGUAAGACUGGGAUAACUCCGGGAAACCGGGGCUAAUACCGGAUGCUUGUUUGAACCGCAUGGUUCAAACAUAAAAGGUGGCUUCGGCUACCACUUACAGAUGGACCCGCGGCGCAUUAGCUAGUUGGUGAGGUAACGGCUCACCAAGGCAACGAUGCGUAGCCGACCUGAGAGGGUGAUCGGCCACACUGGGACUGAGACACGGCCCAGACUCCUACGGGAGGCAGCAGUAGGGAAUCUUCCGCAAUGGACGAAAGUCUGACGGAGCAACGCCGCGUGAGUGAUGAAGGUUUUCGGAUCGUAAAGCUCUGUUGUUAGGGAAGAACAAGUACCGUUCGAAUAGGGCGGUACCUUGACGGUACCUAACCAGAAAGCCACGGCUAACUACGUGCCAGCAGCCGCGGUAAUACGUAGGUGGCAAGCGUUGUCCGGAAUUAUUGGGCGUAAAGGGCUCGCAGGCGGUUUCUUAAGUCUGAUGUGAAAGCCCCCGGCUCAACCGGGGAGGGUCAUUGGAAACUGGGGAACUUGAGUGCAGAAGAGGAGAGUGGAAUUCCACGUGUAGCGGUGAAAUGCGUAGAGAUGUGGAGGAACACCAGUGGCGAAGGCGACUCUCUGGUCUGUAACUGACGCUGAGGAGCGAAAGCGUGGGGGAGCGAACAGGAUUAGAUACCCUGGUAGUCCACGCCGUAAACGAUGAGUGCUAAGUGUUAGGGGGUUUCCGCCCCUUAGUGCUGCAGCUAACGCAUUAAGCACUCCGCCUGGGGAGUACGGUCGCAAGACUGAAACUCAAAGGAAUUGACGGGGGCCCGCACAAGCGGUGGAGCAUGUGG
RNAcentral lists this ribosomal RNA (901 nucleotides) under Bacillus subtilis. Its description in RNAcentral is "bacterial SSU rRNA". It matches the Rfam family "Bacterial small subunit ribosomal RNA", at positions 63 to 944 of the family's 1533-position model. The record is from RNAcentral. Lineage: Bacteria; Bacillati; Bacillota; Bacilli; Caryophanales; Bacillaceae.